Molecule: long non-coding RNA, 978 nt
Organism: Drosophila ficusphila
Lineage: Eukaryota; Metazoa; Arthropoda; Insecta; Diptera; Drosophilidae
Exons: 8
Source: RefSeq, a predicted model, not a curated record
UUGGAAGUCGACGAAGACGCUUGAGAAGAUGUGAAAUAUUUGUGAAAAGUAAAAUAAAACCAUGUUCAAGGCGUAAAUUAAUGAAAAAUCAAUCAAUCACAAGUUUAUGUACAUAGUUGAAACGAAGGAAAUACAUAGUCAAAAGAGAGAUGGCGAUUUUAGUCGAAUUCCAAACGCAUUCUGAGCUUAUCGCAUAUUGAAUUCCUGGCAUGCACGACAACUCGAUGACGGCACACACACCCAUUGCCCACCUUCGGCUGCCUCCCCCUUUGGGCCAACCGUCCUUCUUGGUCUUGUGCUUCUUCAGUUGGAUUCAAACUGUUUUUGGCCAAGAUACUUUAAGCUGAUUUUAUUUGAUGAAGAUACUUACAUUUACCAGGAAGAAUGGCCAAUACAAACGGUAUCGAAUUCCAACCAACAAAGCAACCGAAAAAAAAGGAAAAAAAAUUGGAAAAAAAAGAACGAAAGCCGGGAUCAUAAAAAUAAAACGAGUCAACAAGCAAAAGGCUUUGUUGUUGUUUACGUCCUUCAAGUGCAAUAUGGUGAUAAGGCUGAGAUGUCCGAAGACAGCAGAACGACGACGAUCCAGACAGAUUUUAUGGCUAAAAUAAAUGACGAACAGCGAAAACGGCAAACGGCAACGAAAGGAACAGGCUAAUAAAAAGCCAUUAAAGUCAAGUUCAGGCAGGUCAUGUGAGAUCUGAAGAUGCUUUAACUUCGGCUGAAAACGGAAUUGUACCACCAAUAGUUCUGAAGUAAUUAACAGGGAGGGAUACUCCAAAAUAACGAGCAACAUCAUCUCCCAUGGAACUGCAAUCAAUAAACCAUUAAAAAUUACACACGGAAACAUAAUAACAUAAACAAUAUUCCCCAAAACCCGGAAAAGAACAGGACACCUUAACUCACCUGAUGCGGUAGGCAUCCUGUCGGCCCGUUUCCGCCGGCUCCCAGGAGACGUGCAGCGCAUUGCUGCGGUCG